This is a long non-coding RNA of Callorhinchus milii (elephant shark), 164 nucleotides long. RefSeq lists it as uncharacterized. NCBI's taxonomy places the organism in Eukaryota, Metazoa, Chordata, Chondrichthyes, Chimaeriformes, Callorhinchidae. The record is from RefSeq and is a predicted model, not a curated record. The transcript has 3 exons.
UGCGCUUCCUUCAAAGCAGAUCUUGGCGCAACUACAACAAAACCCAAAGAGAGAAUGGAUCACUGCCUUAGAGAGAGGAUUGGAAAUGGGAGAAAGCCAGAAGGAAAAUACAGAAUUAAAAAGGAAUUUCCCUCUAAGGAUCUUUAUCAUCCACCUGAACAGGC